This is a small nuclear RNA of Pollicipes pollicipes, 166 nucleotides long. RefSeq annotates it as U1 spliceosomal RNA. The transcript has a single exon. The record is from RefSeq and is a predicted model, not a curated record. NCBI's taxonomy places the organism in Eukaryota, Metazoa, Arthropoda, Thecostraca, Pollicipedomorpha, Pollicipedidae.
AUGCUUACCUGGCUCAAGGGAUGCCACUAUCACGAAGGCGGUUUCCCCAGGGUGAGGCUCUUCCAUUCAGGCACGUCGGUUACGUUGGUCCCUUUGAUUACCCAAAAUCUGGGUGGUUUGUUAGUACAAUUGGUGAUAGCGAGGUAAUGUUCGUGGUUCAACCCUA